This 146-nucleotide small nuclear RNA is filed under the name Mus spicilegus (steppe mouse). RNAcentral's name for it is "U1 spliceosomal RNA (ENSMSIG00000020114.1)". Lineage: Eukaryota; Metazoa; Chordata; Mammalia; Rodentia; Muridae. The record is from RNAcentral.
AUGCUUACCUGGCAGGGGACACCAUGAGCACAAAGACAAUGUCCUCAGGGUGAGCCUUGUCCACUGUGUUGCCCUUGAGGUCACCCAGAUGUGGGAAACGAGACUGCAGGGUUUGUAGUCGUGGAGUAUGUAUGAAUACACAGACA